Molecule: ribosomal RNA, 769 nt
Filed under: uncultured bacterium
Lineage: Bacteria
Description: bacterial SSU rRNA
Rfam family: Bacterial small subunit ribosomal RNA
Source: RNAcentral
GACGAACGCUGGCGGCGUGCCUAAUACAUGCAAGUCGAGCGAAGUUUUUCUGGUGCUUGCACUAGAAAAACUUAGCGGCGAACGGGUGAGUAACACGUAAAGAACCUGCCUCAUAGACGGGGACAACUAUUGGAAACGAUAGCUAAUACCGGAUAACAGCAUAAAUCGCAUGAUAUAUGUUUAAAAGUUGGUUUCGGCUAACACUAUGAGAUGGCUUUGCGGUGCAUUAGCUAGUUGGUGGGGUAAAGGCCUACCAAGGCGACGAUGCAUAGCCGACCUGAGAGGGUGAUCGGCCACACUGGGACUGAGACACGGCCCAGACUCCUACGGGAGGCAGCAGUAGGGAAUCUUCCGCAAUAGGCGAAAGCCUGACGGAGCAACGCCGCGUGAGUGAAGAAGGAUUUCGGUUCGUAAAGCUCUGUUGUUAGGGAAGAAUGAUUGUAUAGUAACUAUAUACAGUAGAGACGGUACCUAACCAGAAAGCCACGGCUAACUACGUGCCAGCAGCCGCGGUAAUACGUAGGUGGCAAGCGUUGUCCGGAAUUAUUGGGCGUAAAGCGCGCGCAGGUGGUUUAAUAAGUCUGAUGUGAAAGCCCACGGCUCAACCGUGGAGGGUCAUUGGAAACUGUUAAACUUGAGUGCAGGAGAGAAAAGUGGAAUUCCUAGUGUAGCGGUGAAAUGCGUAGAGAUUAGGAGGAACACCAGUGGCGAAGGCGGCUUUUUGGCCUGUAACUGACACUGAGGCGCGAAAGCGUGGGGAGCAAACAGG